ACAAUAAAAAAUAAAACAAAACUUCUUGGGGCGGACCGGGUCAAACCCGGAUCCGAUUCCCUUUUAUCUUCCAUGAAAAAGAAAAACUGAACCCUAGCCUCCUUUUGUGUUCUCUUUUCACGAAAUGCAUUUCCAGAAGAAAAAAAAAUGUUUCCUCAGUGCCUCAAAGCUACCGUCUCUCCUCUCUUUCUCUGCGUUUCAACGAACAACGUCAACAACAAAAAGAAAACGAAACUCUUCCUCACUCGAUCUCAGCUCACUCGAUCUCUCAACUGAUUUCUCUCGGUCGCUCACCUCUCAUUAUAGGCUCUCACUUACUCUCAUUAUUUGACACUCUCGGUCCCUUUCUCCUCAAAAUUUAAAUCAGACCAAACAACAAAACAAAACACCAUUCAAACAGAAACAUCACCGAAAAAGUAUUGUAGUACAAAAGCAAAGAAAUCGCAAAUGUUCAAGAUAUCAACAUUUCAAGUCAGGUUUGGUUAUGGCUAUUUAGGUGUAAUACUUGGCUUGUUGUUGCAGGGCAUUGUAUGGAGCAGAGUCUUUGUUGUUUUGUAACAGGCAAAUGGAGCAGCAAGAAGCAGCAGCUUUGGACAGUAGCGCAGGAAAGAUGAUGGUGAUGUGUGAUGCGUGGGAAAUUUGGGGAUAGAAAGGAUGUUGGUCAAUUUUUUUUUCUUUUUUAUGUAAUAAACUCUAUUUAAUAAAUAAAAGAAAGGAUGAUGUAAAACAAAAAUUAUUUUUAAUGUCUAUAAUAUGAACUCUAUAAUUUCUA
Molecule: long non-coding RNA, 772 nt
Organism: Vicia villosa (hairy vetch)
Lineage: Eukaryota; Viridiplantae; Streptophyta; Magnoliopsida; Fabales; Fabaceae
Exons: 2
Source: RefSeq, a predicted model, not a curated record